GACGAACGCUGGCGGCGUGCCUAAUACAUGCAAGUCGAACGAACUCUGGUAUUGAUUGGUGCUUGCAUCAUGAUUUACAUUUGAGUGAGUGGCGAACUGGUGAGUAACACGUGGGAAACCUGCCCAGGAGCGGGGGAUAACACCUGGAAACAGAUGCUAAUACCGCAUAACAACUUGGACCGCAUGGUCCGAGUUUGAAAGAUGGCUUCGGCUAUCACUUUUGGAUGGUCCCGCGGCGUAUUAGCUAGAUGGUGGGGUAACGGCUCACCAUGGCAAUGAUACGUAGCCGACCUGAGAGGGUAAUCGGCCACAUUGGGACUGAGACACGGCCCAAACUCCUACGGGAGGCAACAGUAGGGAAUCUUCCACAAUGGACGAAAGUCUGAUGGAGCAACGCCGCGUGAGUGAAGAAGGGUUUCGGCUCGUAAAACUCUGUUGUUAAAGAAGAACAUAUCUGAGAGUAACUGUUCAGGUAUUGACGGUAUUUAACCAGAAAGCCACGGCUAACUACGUGCCAGCAGCCGCGGUAAUACGUAGGUGGCAAGCGUUGUCCGGAUUUAUUGGGCGUAAAGCGAGCGCAGGCGGUUUUUUAAGUCUGAUGUGAAAGCCUUCGGCUCAACCGAAGAAGUGCAUCGGAAACUGGGAAACUUGAGUGCAGAAGAGGACAGUGGAACUCCAUGUGUAGCGGUGAAAUGCGUAGAUAUAUGGAAGAACACCAGUGGCGAAGGCGGCUGUCUGGUCUGUAACUGACGCUGAGGCUCGAAAGUAUGGGUAGCAAACAGGAUUAGAUACCCUGGUAGUCCAUACCGUAAACGAUGAAUGCUAAGUGUUGGAGGGUUUCCGCCCUUCAGUGCUGCAGCUAACGCAUUAAGCAUUCCGCCUGGGGAGUACGGCCGCAAGGCUGAAACUCAAAGGAAUUGACGGGGGCCCGCACAAGCGGUGGAGCAUGUGGUUUAAUUCGAAGCUACGCGAAGAACCUUACCAGGUCUUGACAUACUAUGCAAAUCUAAGAGAUUAGACGUUCCCUUCGGGGACAUGGAUACAGGUGGUGCAUGGUUGUCGUCAGCUCGUGUCGUGAGAUGUUGGGUUAAGUCCCGCAACGAGCGCAACGCUUAUUAUCAGUUGCCAGCAUUAAGUUGGGCACUCUGGUGAGACUGCCGGUGACAAACCGGAGGAAGGUGGGGAUGACGUCAAAUCAUCAUGCCCCUUAUGACCUGGGCUACACACGUGCUACAAUGGAUGGUACAACGAGUUGCGAACUCGCGAGAGUAAGCUAAUCUCUUAAAGCCAUUCUCAGUUCGGAUUGUAGGCUGCAACUCGCCUACAUGAAGUCAGAAUCGCUAGUAAUCGCGGAUCAGCAUGCCGCGGUGAAUACGUUCCCGGGCCUUGUACACACCGCCCGUCACACCAUGAGAGUUUGUAACACCCAAAGUCGGUGGGGUAACCUUUUAGGAACCAGCCGCCUAAGGUGGGACAGAUGAUUAGGGUG
RNAcentral lists this ribosomal RNA (1489 nucleotides) under Lactiplantibacillus pentosus. RNAcentral describes it as "bacterial SSU rRNA". It matches the Rfam family "Bacterial small subunit ribosomal RNA". Lineage: Bacteria; Bacillati; Bacillota; Bacilli; Lactobacillales; Lactobacillaceae. The record is from RNAcentral.